Long non-coding RNA from Xiphophorus couchianus (Monterrey platyfish), 450 nucleotides. RefSeq lists it as uncharacterized. The record is from RefSeq and is a predicted model, not a curated record. Lineage: Eukaryota; Metazoa; Chordata; Actinopteri; Cyprinodontiformes; Poeciliidae. The transcript has 3 exons.
CGGAACCUUUGUUUUGGGGGCGUUGCUUCCCGGUUGAUUUUGGGGCGGACUUCCUGUUUGCCUCAGACGCUAUCUGGAUCCUAAAAGCAGCGCUUUGGUCGUCAUUACUGAAUCCUGUUUUACUAUUCUUCAGGUUUAUAUGGAAUAGACACCUCUGCUUUGCCACUCUGGAUGUAAUCUGUCAAAAAUGGGUCCCUCCAGCUGCAAGUGACAGAUAAACAGAAAAAGCACCUGCCACAUUGAGGUCAGCACCCCCAGCAGCCUCCAUGCCAUCAAAACCUUCGAGCAGAAACAAAGGCAAGAGAACAUCCUUAGAAGAGGUUUAAAGUCCAUGCUCCUGUAAGGUGUUUUGGAUCCAGGUUCAGAGAAUCUCAACAGUGAAACAGAGUCACACCACUCGACAAAGAUGAGAGAGGAAAUAAAAAAAAAAUAAAUCUCUUAAUUCUCUGA